UAAUUUUUUAAUCGUUGUUUAGUUGUAUAAUGAAGCCUUACAGACAGGGGCAAACAGUAAAUCCUCUUUUGCAACCCACUACUCAUUGUUGAGUAUGAGAUUUUGGAACAUGUAAGAAGGAAUAUG
Molecule: small nucleolar RNA, 126 nt
Organism: Perognathus longimembris pacificus (Pacific pocket mouse)
Lineage: Eukaryota; Metazoa; Chordata; Mammalia; Rodentia; Heteromyidae
Product: small nucleolar RNA SNORA40
Exons: 1
Source: RefSeq, a predicted model, not a curated record